Molecule: ribosomal RNA, 402 nt
Filed under: bacterium
Lineage: Bacteria
Description: partial 16S ribosomal RNA
Rfam family: Bacterial small subunit ribosomal RNA
Source: RNAcentral
UGGGGAAUUUUGCACAAUGGGGGAAACCCUGAUGCAGCGACGCCGCGUGAUUUAGAAGGCCUUCGGGUUGUAAAAAUCUUUUUUACGGGAUGAAAAUGACAGUACCGUAAGAAUAAGGUACGGCUAAAUACGUGCCAGCAGCCGCGGUAAUACGUAUGGACCGAGCGUUGUUCGGAAUCAUUGGGCGUAAAGGGUACGUAGGCGGCCUAGUAAGUUAGAAGUGAAAUAAUAUAGCUCAACUAUAUAAAGCUUUUAAAACUGCUAGGCUUGAGAGAUGGAAGGGAAGGUGGAAUUCCUAGUGUAGCGGUGAAAUGCGCAGAUAUUAGGAAGAAUACCGGUGGCGAAGGCGACUUUCUGGUCAUCAUCUGACGCUGAGGUACGAAAGCGUGGGUAGCAAACAGG